Molecule: ribosomal RNA, 181 nt
Filed under: uncultured Prevotella sp.
Lineage: Bacteria; Pseudomonadati; Bacteroidota; Bacteroidia; Bacteroidales; Prevotellaceae
Description: partial 16S ribosomal RNA
Rfam family: Bacterial small subunit ribosomal RNA
Source: RNAcentral
GGGGAGGCAGCAGUGAGGAAUAUUGGUCAAUGGGCGGAAGCCUGAACCAGCCAAGUAGCGUGCAGGAUGACGGCCCUAUGGGUUGUAAACUGCUUUUAUACAGGAAUAAAGUUAGCCACGUGUGGUUAUUUGUAGGUACUGUAUGAAUAAGGACCGGCUAAUUCCGUGCCAGCAGCCGCGG